RNAcentral lists this ribosomal RNA (551 nucleotides) under Bifidobacterium dentium. RNAcentral's name for it is "bacterial SSU rRNA". It matches the Rfam family "Bacterial small subunit ribosomal RNA", at positions 147 to 707 of the family's 1533-position model. Lineage: Bacteria; Bacillati; Actinomycetota; Actinomycetes; Bifidobacteriales; Bifidobacteriaceae. The record is from RNAcentral.
CUCCUGGAAAACGGGUGGUAAUGCCGGAUGCUCCGGUUGGAUGCAUGUCCUUCCGGGAAAGGUUCCAUCGGUAUGGGAUGGGGUCGCGUCCUAUCAGCUUGAUGGCGGGGUAACGGCCCACCAUGGCUUCGACGGGUAGCCGGCCUGAGAGGGCGACCGGCCACAUUGGGACUGAGAUACGGCCCAGACUCCUACGGGAGGCAGCAGUGGGGAAUAUUGCACAAUGGGCGCAAGCCUGAUGCAGCGACGCCGCGUGCGGGAUGGAGGCCUUCGGGUUGUAAACCGCUUUUGAUCGGGAGCAAGCCCUUCGGGGUGAGUGUACCUUUCGAAUAAGCACCGGCUAACUACGUGCCAGCAGCCGCGGUAAUACGUAGGGUGCAAGCGUUAUCCGGAAUUAUUGGGCGUAAAGGGCUCGUAGGCGGUUCGUCGCGUCCGGUGUGAAAGCCCAUCGCUUAACGGUGGGUCUGCGCCGGGUACGGGCGGGCUGGAGUGCGGUAGGGGAGACUGGAAUUCCCGGUGUAACGGUGGAAUGUGUAGAUAUCGAAAAAAAA